This is a non-coding RNA of Triticum urartu, 136 nucleotides long. NCBI's taxonomy places the organism in Eukaryota, Viridiplantae, Streptophyta, Magnoliopsida, Poales, Poaceae. The record is from Rfam.
UUUAUAAUCCCUCCGUCCAGAAUUACUUGUCAGAAUUACUUGUCACGGAAAUGGAUGUAUCUAGACGUAUUUUAAUUCUAGAUACAUUCAGUUUAUCCAUUUGUGCGACAAGAAUUCGGGACAGAGGGAGUAGUUA